UGGGGAAUAUUGCGCAAUGGGCGAAAGCCUGACGCAGCGACGCCGCGUGAGGGAUGAAGGUUUUCGGAUCGUAAACCUCUGUCAGAAGGGAAGAAACCGCACUGUGCUAAUCAGCAGUGCCUUGACGGUACCUUCAAAGGAAGCACCGGAUAACUCCGUGCCAGCAGCCGCGGUAAUACGGAGGGUGCAAGCGUUAAUCGGAAUUACUGGGCGUAAAGCGCACGUAGGCUGCUUUGUAAGUCAGGGGUGAAAUCCCACGGCUCAACCGUGGAACUGCCUUUGAUACUGCUUAGCUUGAAUCCGGGAGAGGGUGGCGGAAUUCCAGGUGUAGGAGUGAAAUCCGUAGAUAUCUGGAGGAACAUCAGUGGCGAAGGCGGCCACCUGGACCGGUAUUGACGCUGAGGUGCGAAAGCGUGGGGAGCAAACAGG
Molecule: ribosomal RNA, 429 nt
Filed under: Fusobacteriota bacterium
Lineage: Bacteria; Fusobacteriati; Fusobacteriota
Description: Fusobacteria bacterium partial 16S ribosomal RNA
Rfam family: Bacterial small subunit ribosomal RNA
Source: RNAcentral